This 75-nucleotide antisense RNA is filed under the name Micromonospora pallida. RNAcentral's name for it is "ASpks TB sRNA". It matches the Rfam family "ASpks TB sRNA". Lineage: Bacteria; Bacillati; Actinomycetota; Actinomycetes; Micromonosporales; Micromonosporaceae. The record is from RNAcentral.
CUUGAUCGACCCCAACCACAGCGGCCGAUCGGCCGGACGCCCCUGCCCAUACGUGGCCAGCAGCGCCUGCGCCUC